This 89-nucleotide non-coding RNA is filed under the name Desulfofundulus thermosubterraneus DSM 16057. RNAcentral describes it as "GEMM cis-regulatory element". It matches the Rfam family "c-di-GMP-I riboswitch aptamer". Rfam says of the family: GEMM was predicted in a large-scale screen for bacterial structured RNA regulatory elements. Genes associated with GEMM are involved in a diverse array of functions, including chemotaxis regulation, signal transduction, secretion and chitin. The record is from RNAcentral. Lineage: Bacteria; Bacillati; Bacillota; Clostridia; Eubacteriales; Peptococcaceae.
GCGAAAAAAAGGCAAACCUGCCGAAAGGCAGGGGCGCAAAGCCGCGGGCCUAAAGCGGAGCGAGCCGCCAGGGCAGCCGGGUUGCCGAA